Molecule: ribosomal RNA, 253 nt
Filed under: uncultured bacterium
Lineage: Bacteria
Description: partial 16S ribosomal RNA
Rfam family: Bacterial small subunit ribosomal RNA
Source: RNAcentral
UACGUAGGGCGCAAGCGCUAUCCGGAAUUAUUGGGCGUAAAGAGCUCGUAGGCGGUUUGUCGCGUCUGCCGUGAAAGUCCGGGGCUCAACUCCGGAUCUGCGGUGGGUACGGGCAGACUAGAGUGAUGUAGGGGAGACUGGAAUUCCUGGUGUAGCGGUGAAAUGCGCAGAUAUCAGGAGGAACACCGAUGGCGAAGGCAGGUCUCUGGGCAUUAACUGACGCUGAGGAGCGAAAGCGUGGGGAGCGAACAGG